AAGAGGGACUCAGAUCACUUGGAAUUAUGGCAAUGUAUUGCAAGGAUACCUAUGAAAAUGGGGGAUCACGAGAAGUUGAACUUUGCAUCCCAGUUCUGAAACAUGCAGCGACCUCAUGGAGACAGAUUCAUCACUCGGCAUUUUGGGGCGGUAGCAAGUUCAAGUGACCUGCCAGAUUUCUUAGCAUUAACUUGAAAGAUAACAUACUUGUUUGAUUUCAUUUGAUUUGAUUUGAUUUGAUUUCUACUAGUCAAAUGGGCACAUUGAUUAGGCUGACUCUCCCCCAGGAACCCUGGGAGCCUAUGACAUCCCUUAUGUCCAAACAAGACACAGCCCCUCUGUGGCCUCAGCAUAUUUGCCCAGUCCAAUCAGCUAUAGCCAGAACAGAAAGGAAGGAAUACCCAAGACAGGGAAGUAGAUUUGCCCAGGCAGCAGCAGCCUGCUACUUCCCUGCUAACCAGGGCAGAGGCUGGCCUGCCCCCCUACCUGGAUGGCCCCUGCUGUCAUGGCUUUUCUGCUUCUAGAAGCCAUCCCUGAGAACAUCAUUGCAGAACUCAAAACACAUUGCAUCAUACAAAAUGAAGUGGAGAAUUAAGGCAAUUAUCCAAUUAUUAAAAACCAUUUCUCAUU
Cebus imitator (Panamanian white-faced capuchin) is the source of this 630-nucleotide long non-coding RNA. RefSeq lists it as uncharacterized. The record is from RefSeq and is a predicted model, not a curated record. Lineage: Eukaryota; Metazoa; Chordata; Mammalia; Primates; Cebidae. The transcript has 3 exons.